ACUCCUACGGGAGGCAGCAGUGGGGAAUCUUGGACAAUGGGGGCGAACCCUGAUCCAGCCAUGCCGCGUGAGUGAUGAAGGCCUUAGGGUCGUAAAGCUCUUUCGCCUGUGAAGAUAAUGACGGUAGCAGGUAAAGAAACCCCGGCUAACUCCGUGCCAGCAGCCGCGGUAAUACGGAGGGGUUAGCGUUGUUCGGAAUUACUGGGGCGUAAAGCGCACGUAGGCGGAUCGGAAAGUUGGGGUGAAAUCCCGGGGCUCAACCCCGGAACUGCCUCCAAACUAUCGGUCUAGAGUUCGAGAGAGGUGAGUGGAAUUCCGAGUGUAGAGGUGAAAUUCGUAGAUAUUCGGAGGAACACCAGUGGCGAAGGCGGCUCACUGGCUCGAUACUGACGCUGAGGUGCGAAAGUGUGGGGAGCAAACAGGAUUAGAUACCCUGGUAGGACAGUG
RNAcentral lists this ribosomal RNA (447 nucleotides) under uncultured bacterium. RNAcentral describes it as "bacterial SSU rRNA". It matches the Rfam family "Bacterial small subunit ribosomal RNA", at positions 335 to 799 of the family's 1533-position model. The record is from RNAcentral.